CACUCCGCCUGGGGAGUACGACCGCAAGGUUGAAACUCAAAGGAAUUGACGGGGGCCCGCACAAGCGGUGGAGCAUGUGGUUUAAUUCGAAGCAACGCGAAGAACCUUACCAGGUCUUGACAUCCUUUGACCACUCUGGAGACAGAGCUUUCCCUUCGGGGACAAAGUGACAGGUGGUGCAUGGUUGUCGUCAGCUCGUGUCGUGAGAUGUUGGGUUAAGUCCCGCAACGAGCGCAACCCUUGAUUUUAGUUGCCAGCAUUUAGUUGGGCACUCUAAAGUGACUGCCGGUGCAAGCCGGAGGAAGGUGGGGAUGACGUCAAAUCAUCAUGCCCCUUAUGACCUGGGCUACACACGUGCUACAAUGGAUAGUACAAAGGGUCGCGAAGCCGCGAGGUGGAGCUAAUCCCAUAAAACUAUUCUCAGUUCGGAUUGUAGGCUGCAACUCGCCUACAUGAAGCCGGAAUCGCUAGUAAUCGUGGAUCAGCAUGCCACGGUGAAUACGUUCCCGGGCCUUGUACACACCGCCCGUCACACCACGAGAGUUUGUAACACCCGAAGUCGGUAGGGUAACCUUUAUGGAGCCAGCCGCCGAAGGUGGGACAGAUAAUUGGGGUGAAGUCGUAACAAGGUAGCCGUAUCGGAAGGUGCGGCUGGAUCACCUCCUUUCUAAGGAA
This 675-nucleotide ribosomal RNA is filed under the name Listeria monocytogenes. RNAcentral's name for it is "bacterial SSU rRNA". It matches the Rfam family "Bacterial small subunit ribosomal RNA", at positions 865 to 1533 of the family's 1533-position model. Lineage: Bacteria; Bacillati; Bacillota; Bacilli; Caryophanales; Listeriaceae. The record is from RNAcentral.